GUGAGCGAUAAGACUUUGAAAUCAUGAGGUGAUCAAUAUGUAAAUUCCGUUUUUCCAAACUCUUAUCGCUCGCAAGAUAGUUGUCCAAUUGAAAAACUAAUUAGUUAACCGGACUCCUGAGAUCAUUUGCUACACACAGGCAGUUUGUUUGCCAAAAUUCAUGGACUAAAAAGGUAAUUAUUUUUCAGUCAACAAUCAUCAAAUUUAUGCGAUAAUGUCAAAAUCUUAAACUUUAAACUUUUAUACUCGAGUAUAAAAAAUUAAACCCGGGUCGGGAAUUGCCCUAAUAUAAAAAGUGUUGAAUGAGUUGAUA
This is a long non-coding RNA of Bradysia coprophila, 313 nucleotides long. Lineage: Eukaryota; Metazoa; Arthropoda; Insecta; Diptera; Sciaridae. The record is from RefSeq and is a predicted model, not a curated record.